UUGCCAGCCCGCUCAGUCAGAGUUUGAUCCGUGGCUCAGGACGAACGCUGGCGGCGUGCUUAACACAUGCAAGUCGAACGGUGAAGGGACCAGCUUGCUGGUUCUGGAUGAGUGGCGAACGGGUGAGUAACACGUGAGUAACCUGCCCCCUUCUUCUGGAUAACCGCAUGAAAGUGUGGCUAAUGCGGGAUAUUCUGGGUCUGUCGCAUGAUGGGCCCGGGAAAGAUGCGCCUUUGGGUGUUUUGGUGGGGGAUGGGCUCGCGGCCUAUCAGCUUGUUGGUGGGGUGAUGCCUACCAAGGCGGUGACGGGUAGCCGGCCUGAGAGGGUGGACGGUCACACUGGGACUGAGACACGGCCCAG
RNAcentral lists this ribosomal RNA (361 nucleotides) under uncultured bacterium. Its description in RNAcentral is "bacterial SSU rRNA". It matches the Rfam family "Bacterial small subunit ribosomal RNA", at positions 1 to 334 of the family's 1533-position model. The record is from RNAcentral.